This 508-nucleotide ribosomal RNA is filed under the name uncultured bacterium. RNAcentral describes it as "bacterial SSU rRNA". It matches the Rfam family "Bacterial small subunit ribosomal RNA", at positions 29 to 509 of the family's 1533-position model. The record is from RNAcentral.
AAUGAACGCUGGCGGCGUGCCUAACACAUGCAAGUCGAGCGAGAAAGUCCCCUUCGGGGGGCGAGUAAAGCGGCGCACGGGUGAGUAACGCGUGGGUAACCUGCCCUUGAGUGGGGGAUAACCAGCCGAAAGGCUGACUAAUCCCGCAUACGACCGGCAGACACAAGUCUGUCGGGGAAAGAUGGCCUCUGCUUGCAAGCUAUCGCUCUUGGAUGGGCCCGCGUUGGAUUAGCUAGUUGGUGGGGUAACGGCCUACCAAGGCUGCGAUCCAUAGCUGGUUUGAGAGGACGACCAGCCACACUGGAACUGAGACACGGUCCAGACUCCUACGGGAGGCAGCAGUGAGGAAUAUUGCGCAAUGGGGGAAACCCUGACGCAGCGACGCCGUGUGAGCGAUGAAGGCCUUCGGGUCGUAAAGCUCUGUCAGAGGGAAAGAAAGGGUCGGCGGAAUAAGUACCCGCCGACAUUGACGGUACCCUCGGACGGAAGCACCGGCUAACUCCGUGCC